GUUAAUGGAUUUUAUCAGAAACUUGGUUAUACCUCUACAUCUAGAGCCGGGUGCACUUGUUUUGAUUCAGGCACCAGCCUCCUUCUAAAACUACGAAACUGAAUUUGUAUCCUCUUUGGGAUUAAAAAUAUAAAAUAUUCCAAAACAUUGUCCUUAUUUCAGAGAUGGAGCAGAAAACCUUUUGACGAUGAGUUCUCUUGCAAAAUAUUGUGUGUUAGCCAGUGACGGAACUGUUCUACUUCACCUUUUGAAAGGUGGCAGCCCUACAAAUCUAUCGAAGACUCCAUCCUAGAUCUGCAAAUUGUAACUUUCAGACUAUCGGAAAGUUGUUCAGCAGCAUUGUAAAUCUCCAAACGGGCACCCGCCCAGAACUUUGCAGGCUGACAGGUGUGCAGUUGAUUCAUAACUUAGCAAAUAUGCUGACAUUUUUUCUGCCGUGCGGAAAAAAAUCCCCCUCUCUCCCCUUGUGUCCUAACCUAGUGACAUUCCUGUCAACGCAAAGGGUCAAAGAAAGGAACAUUUACGUUAUUUACCACUCCUUAAAGCACAUAGGAGAAAGAGAAGUGUCUGUAGUAACUUGCUUCACCAACUGUACGGAAAAUUCUGUAUUUUUUUUGUUAUUGGGAAUGUGAAUAAAUACUUAACCAGCUUCAAUGGACUUGAA
Long non-coding RNA from Protopterus annectens (West African lungfish), 664 nucleotides. RefSeq lists it as uncharacterized. The transcript has 2 exons. The record is from RefSeq and is a predicted model, not a curated record. NCBI's taxonomy places the organism in Eukaryota, Metazoa, Chordata, Ceratodontiformes, Protopteridae.